UAAUACGGAGGGUGCAAGCGUUAUCCGGAUUCACUGGGUUUAAAGGGUGCGUAGGUGGGUUGGUAAGUCAGUGGUGAAAUCCCCGAGCUUAACUUGGGAACUGCCAUUGAUACUAUCAGUCUUGAAUACCGUGGAGGUCGGCGGAAUAUGUCAUGUAGCGGUGAAAUGCUUAGAUAUGACAUAGAACACCAAUUGCGAAGGCAGCUGGCUACGCGGAUAUUGACACUGAGGCACGAAAGCGUGGGGAUCAAACAGGAUUAGAUACCCUGGUAGUCCACGCCCUAAACUAUGGAUACUCGACAUUUGCGAUAAACUGUAAGUGUCUGAGCGAAAGCAUUAAGUAUCCCACCUGGGAAGUACGAUCGCAAGAUUGAAACUCAAAGGAAUUGACGG
Molecule: ribosomal RNA, 393 nt
Filed under: bacterium enrichment culture
Lineage: Bacteria
Description: bacterial SSU rRNA
Rfam family: Bacterial small subunit ribosomal RNA
Source: RNAcentral